CCCAGUAAACGGCGGCCGUAACUAUAACGGUCCUAAGGUAGCGAAAUUCCUUGUCAGGUAAGUUCUGACCCGCACGAAUGGCGUAAUGACUUGGGCACUGUCUCAACUGCAAAUCCGGCGAAGUUGUAGUGCGAGUGAAGAUGCUCGCUACCCGCGAUUGGACGGAAAGACCCCGUAGAGCUUUACUGCAGCUUAGCAUUGAAUUCCGGUAUUGUCUGUACAGGAUAGGUGGGAGACUGGGAAACUAGGGCGUCAGCCUUAGUGGAGUCAACCUUGGGAUACCACCCUGACAGUACUGGGGUUCUAACAGGACGCCAUGAAACUGGUGACUGGACAUUGUUAGGUGGGCAGUUUGACUGGGGCGGUCGCCUCCUAAAAAGUAACGGAGGCGCCCAAAGGUUCCCUCAGAACGGUCGGAAAUCGUUCGUAGAGUGCAAAGGCAAAAGGGAGCCUGACUGCGAGACCUACAAGUCGAGCAGGGACGAAAGUCGGGCUUAGUGAUCCGGUGGUACCUCGUGGGAGGGCCAUCGCUCAACGGAUAAAAGCUACCUCGGGGAUAACAGGCUGAUCUCCCCCAAGAGUCCACAUCGACGGGGAGGUUUGGCACCUCGAUGUCGGCUCGUCGCAUCCUGGGGCUGUAGUAGGUCCCAAGGGUUGGGCUGUUCGCCCAUUAAAGCGGCACGCGAGCUGGGUUCAGAACGUCGUGAGACAGUUCGGUCCCUAUCCGUCGCGGGCGUAGGAAAUUUGAGAGGAGCUGUCCUUAGUACGAGAGGACCGGGAUGGACUGACCUCUGGUGCACCAGUUGUUCCGCCAGGAGCACGGCUGGGUAGCUAAGUCGGGAAGGGAUAAACGCUGAAAGCAUCUAAGCGUGAAGCCUCCCUCAAGAUGAGAUUUCCCAUAGCAUAAGCUAGUAAGACCCCUUGAAGAACACAAGGUUGAUAGGUCAGAGGUGUAAGUGCGGUAACGUAUGUAGCUGACUGAUACUAAUAGGUCGAGGGCUUGACCAA
Molecule: ribosomal RNA, 1008 nt
Filed under: human gut metagenome
Description: bacterial LSU rRNA
Rfam family: Bacterial large subunit ribosomal RNA
Source: RNAcentral